CCUACGGGAGGCUGCAGUGGGGAAUAUUGGGCAAUGGGCGCAAGCCUGACCCAGCAACGCCGCGUGAAGGAAGAAGGCUUUCGGGUUGUAAACUUCUUUUAUCAGGGACGAAGCAAGUGACGGUACCUGAUGAAUAAGCCACGGCUAACUACGUGCCAGCAGCCGCGGUAAUACGUAGGUGGCAAGCGUUAUCCGGAUUUACUGGGUGUAAAGGGCGUGUAGGCGGGAGUGCAAGUCAGAUGUGAAAACUAUGGGCUCAACCCAUAGCCUGCAUUUGAAACUGUACUUCUUGAGUGCUGGAGAGGCAAUCGGAAUUCCGUGUGUAGCGGUGAAAUGCUUAGAUAUUGCGCAGAACUCCGAUUGCGAAGGCAGCAUACCGGCGGCGAUCUGACGCUGAGGCACGAAAGCGUGGGUAUCGAACAGGAUUAGAUACCCGUGUAGUC
Molecule: ribosomal RNA, 443 nt
Filed under: uncultured bacterium
Lineage: Bacteria
Description: partial 16S ribosomal RNA
Rfam family: Bacterial small subunit ribosomal RNA
Source: RNAcentral